CAGGCCCGAGCGGCCAUGACGCAGCAGGGCCCGGGGCCGCCCGCGGCUCCCGCGCCCUCGCUCUCAGACCGCUGACAGAAACGUGCUGUAUACCGGGUUCCCCCCCCCCCAAAUUGUGACUGAAACGUGCCCCAGUUCAGGGUUUUUUUCCCCCUCAAACUAACUCGGCCUGUCCUUUAUUCUGGUAGAACCGAGGAGCAGGAUGGUGGAGGAGGACAGGGAGUGACAGCGUCAGGUGCGCUAGGUGCAGACUUGCAAAAGGGUAACCGCUGACACGGCUGUGAAGUAGCACUGAGGCACUCCUGCUAUUUUUAGAGAUUCCUCAUUGCUUUUGUUCCUACGUCAUGGGUGGAUGAAAUUGCCAGCAAUUAUCCGUGCCAUGCUAUUCCAAGAACUCACGGC
Apteryx owenii (little spotted kiwi) is the source of this 402-nucleotide long non-coding RNA. NCBI's taxonomy places the organism in Eukaryota, Metazoa, Chordata, Aves, Apterygiformes, Apterygidae. The record is from Ensembl.